Long non-coding RNA from Oncorhynchus tshawytscha (Chinook salmon), 2525 nucleotides. NCBI's taxonomy places the organism in Eukaryota, Metazoa, Chordata, Actinopteri, Salmoniformes, Salmonidae. The record is from Ensembl.
UUAGUUGCAGAUGUCUUUUUAUUAUUCAACAGUUGAUUGAGGAUUUUCCAAGGUUGACUUUAUAUUAGUUAAGGAUUCUGGGAAGUUGUUUGUAAAAUAUAUUUUGGGGGAUAUCCAGUAGGUGAGUAAAUUUGUUAGGGGUGAGGAAUUUGUGAGGAACUUUUUAUAGUUUAGGUUUCCAGAAUCCUUUUGCAGUUAUCUUACAUGGUUUAACUAAGGGAAAGCAGUGGUGAAAUACAGAGGUGAAAGACGUGAGAAAAGUCUGGUAAGCAGACUCCACAUCGGCCUGGUUAUAAACAUUUUCCCAUGAAAUAUCAUCAAUCAUUAUCUUAAAGUGCUCACAAUUACUUCUGUUAAAUAUUCUACAUUUAAUGAUAUUAAUCAUUCCCAUCUGUUCAUUUCCAGCUGCCAAAGAGACAAUUGGAAAGUGGUCAGAAAUGUCAGUAUAAAGUAUACCUGUAUGAGCCACAUUAUUCAAAACAUUAUCAAUAAGGGUGUCCGAUGAACUGGUCACUCUGUGGGCUUAUAGAUGAGGGGACACAGAUAGUUGGAGUAUAAAGUAUUCAGUCUGUGGUCUUAUAGAGGAGGGGAUACAGAUAGAUGGAGUAUAAAGUAUUCAGUCUGUGGGCUUAUAGAUGAGGGGAUACAGAUAGUUGGAGUAUAAAGUAUUCAGUCUGUGGUCUUAUAGAGGAGGGGACACAGAUAGAUGGAGUAUAAAGUAUUCAGUCUGUGGGCUUAUAGAUGAGGGGAUACAGAUAGUUGGAGUAUAAAGUAUUCAGUCUGUGGUCUUAUAGAGGAGGGGACACAGAUAGAUGGAGUAUAAAGUAUUCAGUCUGUGGGCUUAUAGAUGAGGGGAUACAGAUAGAUCUGUGGGGUUAUAGAUGAGGGGACACAGAUAGAUGGAGUAUAAAGUAUUCAGUCUGUGGGCUUAUAGAUGAGGGGAUACAGAUAGAUCUGUGUUCUUAUAGAUGAGGGGACACAGGUAGAUGGAGUUUAAAGUAUUCAGUCUGUGGGCUUAUAGAUGAGGGGAUACAGAUAGAUGGAGUAUAAAGGCUUCAGUCUGUGGGCUUAUAGAUGAGGGGAUACAGAUGGAUGGAGUAUAAAAUAUUCAGUAUGUGGGCUUAUAGAUGAGGGGAUACAGAUGGAGUAUAAAGUAUUCAGUCUGUGGUCUUAUAGAUGAGGGGAUACAGAUAGAUGGAGUAUAAAGGCUUCAGUCUGUGGGCUUAUAGAUGAGGGGAUACAGAUGGAUGGAGUAUAAAAUAUUCAGUAUGUGGGCUUAUAGAUGAGGGGAUACAGAUGGAUGGAGUAUAAAGUAUUCAGUCUGUGGUCUUAUAGAUGAGGGGAUACAGAUAGAUGGAGUAUAAAUUAUUCCGUCUGUGGGCUUAUAGAUGAGGGGAUACAGAUAGGUCUGUGUUCUUAUAGAUGAGGGGACACAGGUAGAUGGAGUUUAAAGUAUUCAGUCUGUGGGCUUAUAGAUGAGGGGAUACAGAUGGAGUAUAAAGUAUUCAGUCUGUGGGCUUAUAGAUGAGGGGAUACAGAUAGAUGGAGUUUAAAGUAUUCAGUCUGUGGGCUUAUAGAUGAAGGGACACCGAUAGAUGGAGUAUAAAGUAUUCAGUCUGUGGGAUUAUAGAUGAGGGGAGACAGAUAGAUGGAGUAUAAAGUAUUCAGUCCGUGGGCUUAUAGAUGAGGGGAUACAGAUAGAUGGAGUAUAAAGUAUUCAGUCUGUGGGCUUAUAGAUGAGGGGACACAGAUAGAUGGAGUAUAAAGUAUUCAGUCUGUGGGCUUAUAGAUGAGGGGAUACAGAUGGAGAAUAAAGUAUUCAGUCUAUGGACUUAUAGAUGGAGUAUAAAGUAUUCAGUCUGUGGGCUUAUAGAUGAGGGGAUACAGAUAGAUGGAGUAUAAAGGCUUCAGUGUGUGGUCUUAUAGAUGAGGGGAUUCAGAUAGAUGGAGUAUAAAGUAUUCAGUCUGUGGGAUUAUAGAUGAAGGGACACAGAUAGAUGGAGUAUAAAGUAUUCAGUCUGUGGGCUUAUAGAUGAGGGGAUACAGAUAGAUGGAGUAUAAAGUAUUCAGUCUGUGGGCUUAUAGAUGAAUCGACACAGAUAGAUGGAGUAUAAAGUAUUCAGUCUGUGUGCUUAUUGAUGAGGGGAUACAGAUAGAUAUGUGGGCUUAUAGAUGAGGGGACACAGAUAGAUGGAGUAUAAAGUAUUCAAUCUGUGGGCUUAUAGAUGGGGGGAUACAGAUAGAUGGAGUUUGAAGUAUUCAGUCUGUGGGCUUAAAGAUGAGGGGAUACAGAUGGAGUAUGAAGCAUUCAGUCUGUGGGCUUAUAGAUGAAGGGACACCGAUAGAUGGAGUAUAAAGGCUUCAGUCUGUGGGCUUAUAGAUGAGGGGAUACAGAUGGAUGGAGUAUAAAAUAUUCAGUAUGUGGGCUUAUAGAUGAGGGGAUACAGAUGGAUGGAGUAUAAAUUAUUCAGUCUGUGGGCUUAUAGAUGAGGGGAUACAGAUAGAUCUGUGUUCUUAUAGAUGAG